CAAGCAGAUUGGGUAGUCGCGGGCGCGUUCAUUGUUUAUUAUUACAAAGAACACGCCUGAGGAAAGUCCGAACUCCAUAGGGCUGGGUGCUGGAUAACUUCCAGUGGGGGUGACCCUAAGGAAAGUGCCGCAGAAAUUAAACCGCUCUUACGCCUGAUCCUUAUAAGAGGAGCGGGAUCAGGCAUUGAGUAAGGGUAAGGGUGAAACGGUGCGGUAAGAGCGCACCGGCAGCCAGGUGACUGGUUGGCCAGGUAAACCCCAUCCGGAGCAAGACCAAAUAGGAGAGAUAUAGGGUGGCCCGCCUUUCUCUCGGGUACGGUCGCUAGAGGCCCCUGGGUAACCGGGGUCCCAGACAGAUGGCUACCCUCGACAGGAUUCGGCUUACAGAUCUGGUUGUUUG
RNAcentral lists this RNase P RNA (400 nucleotides) under Bacillota bacterium. RNAcentral's name for it is "Firmicutes bacterium (anaerobic digester metagenome) RNase P RNA component class A". It matches the Rfam family "Bacterial RNase P class A". From Rfam's summary of the family: Ribonuclease P (RNase P) is a ubiquitous endoribonuclease, found in archaea, bacteria and eukarya as well as chloroplasts and mitochondria. Its best characterised activity is the generation of mature 5'-ends of tRNAs by cleaving the 5'-leader elements of precursor-tRNAs. The record is from RNAcentral. Lineage: Bacteria; Bacillati; Bacillota.